RNAcentral lists this ribosomal RNA (433 nucleotides) under uncultured bacterium. RNAcentral describes it as "partial 16S ribosomal RNA". It matches the Rfam family "Bacterial small subunit ribosomal RNA", at positions 29 to 507 of the family's 1533-position model. The record is from RNAcentral.
AACGAACGCUGGCGGCAUGCCUAACACAUGCAAGUCGAACGAGACCUUCGGGUCUAGUGGCGCACGAGUGCGUAACGCGUGGGAACCUGCCCUUAGGUUCGGAAUAACUCCCCGAAAGGGGUGCUAAUACCGGAUAAUGUCUUCGGACCAAAGAUUUAUCGCCUUUGGAUGGGCCCGCGUUGGAUUAGCUAGUUGGUAGGGUAAAAGCCUACCAAGGCGACGAUCCAUAGCUGGUCUGAGAGGAUGAUCAGCCACACUGGGACUGAGACACGGCCCAGACUCCUACGGGAGGCAGCAGUGGGGAAUAUUGGACAGUGGGCGAAAGCCUGAUCCAGCAAUGCCGCGUGAGUGAUGAAGGCCUUAGGGUUGUAAAGCUCUUUUACCCGGGAUGAUAAUGACAGUACCGGGAGAAUAAGCGCCGGCUAACUCCGUG